Non-coding RNA from Brassica napus (rape), 125 nucleotides. NCBI's taxonomy places the organism in Eukaryota, Viridiplantae, Streptophyta, Magnoliopsida, Brassicales, Brassicaceae. The record is from Rfam.
GGAAGUUAAGAAACUGUUUCUUAACUUUUAACUUAAAAAGUUAAGAACCAGUUUUUAAAUAAUGACUUUAAGAACCGGUUUUUAGCUUUUUUAGUUAAAAGUUAAGAAACAGUUUCUUAACUUCC